RNAcentral lists this ribosomal RNA (254 nucleotides) under uncultured bacterium. RNAcentral's name for it is "partial 16S ribosomal RNA". It matches the Rfam family "Bacterial small subunit ribosomal RNA", at positions 524 to 776 of the family's 1533-position model. The record is from RNAcentral.
UACGGGGGGAGCAAGCGUUGUUCGGAUUUACUGGGCGUAAAGGGCGCGUAGGCGGCCAGCGCAAGUCAGUUGUGAAAUCUCCGAGCUUAACUCGGAAAGGUCAACUGAUACUGCGCGGCUAGAGUGCGGAAGGGGCAACUGGAAUUCUUGGUGUAGCGGUGAAAUGCGUAGAUAUCAAGAGGAACACCUGCGGCGAAGGCGGGUUGCUGGGCCGACACUGACGCUGAGGCGCGAAAGCCAGGGGAGCGAACAGG